CUUGCUGGAUUUCGGUUAGAGAAAUGGUAAAGUAUGUUUUUAUUAUAAGUACUGAAUACAUUCAAAAUUGUUUUCCGAUGAGCUAAAUCUUUUACGAACAAAUCGAAGGACACGUUUCAUUUGGUUGUUUUCUUCCUUUUCGUUUUCGGCCAUCGUCUUGGAAUCGGUUCGUCAUUAAAGAAAGAAGAGGAAAGCACAAUAAAUAGGUGUAAUUCACGAAUCUUCGCUCGUUACUAAUGACGUAUUUUUGUUUUGUUACAGAAAAAAAAGUCGACAGAAGUUUUAUUUUACUCUGUUGAUAACCCACAAUUGUUUGUGUCUGAAGACAGAGAGGGUGAAGAUUGUGUUGUCUUUCAGCCCUACGACGAAAUGAAUGGAAGCUUUUGGAAUUAUCGUCCACACAGGCCGUCUUGAUUAAAUGAGAAAACCUCGUUGACGAUUUCACCAGAAAGAAAAAAAAAACAGAAGGAAGAUUUUAACGAAGCGGAAGAGGAGACUUUUCA
Molecule: long non-coding RNA, 503 nt
Organism: Centruroides sculpturatus (bark scorpion)
Lineage: Eukaryota; Metazoa; Arthropoda; Arachnida; Scorpiones; Buthidae
Exons: 2
Source: RefSeq, a predicted model, not a curated record